AUUGAACGCUGGCGGCAUGCUUUACACAUGCAAGUCGAACGGCAGCGGGGGCUUCGGCCUGGCGGCGAGUGGCGAACGGGUGAGUAAUGCAUCGGAACGUGCCCAGUAGUGGGGGAUAACCCGGCGAAAGCCGGGGUAAUACCGCAUACGACCUGAGGGUGAAAGUGGGGGACCGAAAGACCUCGCGCUAGUGGAGCGGCCGAUGUCGGAUUAGCUAGUUGGUGGGGUAAAGGCUUACCAAGGCGACGAUCCGUAGCUGGUCUGAGAGGACGACCAGCCACACUGGGACUGAGACACGGCCCAGACUCCUACGGGAGGCAGCAGUGGGGAAUUUUGGACAAUGGGGGCAACCCUGAUCCAGCCAUGCCGCGUGCGGGAAGAAGGCCUUCGGGUUGUAAACCGCUUUUGUUCGGGAAGAAAUCCUCUGAGCUAAUACCCCGGGGGGAUGACGGUACCGGAAGAAUAAGCACCGGCUAACUACGUG
This 484-nucleotide ribosomal RNA is filed under the name uncultured bacterium. RNAcentral describes it as "partial 16S ribosomal RNA". It matches the Rfam family "Bacterial small subunit ribosomal RNA", at positions 29 to 507 of the family's 1533-position model. The record is from RNAcentral.